GAUGGAUUGGAUGGAUAUGGAUUGGAUCGUUAAUGGAUGGAUCAAAACAAUCCAUUAUCCAUUAACAAUCCACUAAAAGUUUUUUAAAAAUAUCCAAUCCAAUCCAUCCAUUAAGAAUAAAAAUCCAUCCAAUCCAUCCAUUAUCAUAUUUUUAGUGGAUGGAUAUCCAUCCAUCCAUUUUUUUUUUCUUUAAAAUUUUUCUUUGAAAUUUAUUUUUUUUAAAAAGUUUUUUACUUUUUUUUAAUAAAACAAUAUCAGUUUUUUUUUUUUUAGAAAAAUUAUUUUUUUUUCAAAAAAAUAUAUAUUUUUGUAUUUUUGAAAAAAAUAAUUUAAAUUUUUUUUUAUAUUCGUAAAUUUUUUUUUUUAUAUUCGUAAAAAAA
Molecule: long non-coding RNA, 380 nt
Filed under: Lathyrus oleraceus (garden pea)
Lineage: Eukaryota; Viridiplantae; Streptophyta; Magnoliopsida; Fabales; Fabaceae
Description: Pisum sativum (pea) long non-coding RNA (PSAT_LNC003013)
Source: RNAcentral